UUAUGUUGUAUGUUUGCAUAUUAUUGUUAUUUUUAAAUGUAAAAUGAUAAUUUUACAUAUCUUUAAUGUAGUAUUUCCAUUUUUUAUGUUGUAUGUUUACAUAUUAUUUAUUAUUUUCGAAAUUAUAUAUAAUUUUUUUUUUACAAAAUAGUAAUGUUACAUUAUGGAGAUAAGCCGUCUUUUUUUUAAAUGAAAAUGGUAAUCUUACAUAUGUUUAAUGUAGUUUUUUCAUUUUUUAUGUUGUAUGUUUAUAUAUUAUUUUCUUAAAAUAAAAAUGUAAAAUGGUAAUCUUACAUAUGUUUAAUGUAGUAUUUCCAUUUUUAUGUUGUAAGUUUUACAUAUAUUUAUUAUUUUCAAAAUUAUAUAUAAUGUUUUUUGUUUUUUUUAUAAAAUGGUAAUGUUACAUUAUGGAGAUAAACCGUCUUUUUUUUAAGUGAAAAAUAGUAAUCUUACAUAUGUUUAAUGUAGUUUUUACAUUUUUUUAAUGCUGUAUGUUUACAUAUUUUUUAUAAUUUUCGAAAAUAAGUAAUAUUAAAAUGUAAAACUAUAUUUUAAUGUCAUGUGUCAUCUUUCGAGAUUAUAUUAUAUAUUUACUUAUUAUUUAUUUUUCUUUAUAUUGUGUAUUUUUAUUUCUUAUACUUUCUAUUUACUAAUAAUUUUAUAUUUUAAGAUUGAUUUACAUUUUAAGAUAGAUGUUUAAAUACUAAUGUACUUUUUCCAUUUUUUAAAAUUGUGUAUUUCCUUUUCUUAUACUUUCUAUUUGCGUAAUAUCUAUAGUUUACAUUUUAAGAUAUAUGUUUAAAUCUUAAUAUACUUUUUCCAUUGUUUUUAAGUUGUGUAUUUCUUUUUCUUAUAUUUUCUAUUUACUUAAUAUCUAUAUUUUACAUUUUAAGAUAGAUGUUUAAUAUUUAAUAUACUCUUUCCAUUUUUAAAAAAUUGUGCAUUUACUUAUUAUUG
This 957-nucleotide long non-coding RNA is filed under the name Brassica rapa (field mustard). RNAcentral describes it as "long non-coding RNA (BRAP_LNC007109)". The record is from RNAcentral. Lineage: Eukaryota; Viridiplantae; Streptophyta; Magnoliopsida; Brassicales; Brassicaceae.